This 253-nucleotide ribosomal RNA is filed under the name uncultured bacterium. Its description in RNAcentral is "partial 16S ribosomal RNA". It matches the Rfam family "Bacterial small subunit ribosomal RNA", at positions 524 to 776 of the family's 1533-position model. The record is from RNAcentral.
UACGUAGGGGGCAAGCGUUGUCCGGAUUUAUUGGGCGUGAAGAGCGUGUAGGCGGCCAGAUAGGUCAGCUGUGAAAACUCGAGGCUCAACCUCGAGAUGUCGGCUGAAACCAUCUGGCUAGAGUCCGGAAGAGGAGAAUGGAAUUCCCGGUGUAGCGGUGAAAUGCGCAGAUAUCGGGAAGAACACCCGUGGCGAAGGCGGUUCUCUGGGACGGUACUGACGCUGAGACGCGAAAGCGUGGGGAGCGAACAGG